RNAcentral lists this long non-coding RNA (1805 nucleotides) under Nicotiana tabacum (common tobacco). RNAcentral's name for it is "long non-coding RNA (NTAB_LNC019469)". Lineage: Eukaryota; Viridiplantae; Streptophyta; Magnoliopsida; Solanales; Solanaceae. The record is from RNAcentral.
CUUAUGGUUGCUCUCUACAUGUAUGUGUGGUGUUUUGAGGGGGGAGUGUAUUCUCGUAUUGUGUAACCAAAUUGUUGUGAUCUGUUGCUACUUGAUUUUUUGGAAUUCAUUUAAAUGCUUGGUUCACUGAAUAAAUUGCAGGUUCUUACAAAUGGCAUAGAGGUGAAACUACAAAGGAAUGCUUUAGGUAAUAAUGAGGAUGAUGAUGACCUUGAAUUUGAAAAUGUUCACUGGAAUGGUUCAAAUAUGGGUAAGUUACCUAAUUUAUGAUUAACCUCAUUUUUUUUGGGUUUGGCUUGCUAUAUAGUAAUAAUUUUGGUUAUUUUGAGUUUCCAAUUCACGAAAUUUGAAAUUUGACUUAAUUCUAUUUCAAAUUAAACUCAAAUGAUCAACUGCUUUCCAUUUUCUUAGAGUCUUCUUAGGUUGAUGGUUUACUUAUAGUGUUAGAUGCAUCGAACAGGCCGUUGGCAAGAUGGUGCUGCUGCAGUAUGUGUUUGGUGCCUAUAUUUGCACACCUAUAGAAGUACAAGCAGUUUGUUAACUAUUCCAUCUAGGUGAGGUAUCAAUGUUUCUGGCUUGCCCGGCACACAGAAGAAGCAGAGAGUUACUAGUUUGGUCAAUCAUUGCUAUUAUUUAUUUGUUUGGUUUCAAUUAGUUUAUGUGUUGAUGUUGUUUUGGUUUAAGUACUUCGAGAAACAUUUAUUUAUUUUAGAGAAAAUACAUAAAGAUCCCAUUCAACUUGUCAUAAAAAAUCAUUUGCACACCUAAACUUUGUGGGUGUCCUAACACCCCACUAUUGUUAAAAUAAUUGUAUUUAUUUAAUCCCUUCUAAGCCUUGGUUAGGCGCGCGUCUUAGACUACGCAAUUGAGCGCGUCUUUACUCUAUUUUAAUCGUUAAAAACCCCCCAAAAAAGAAAAAAAUUAAAUUUUUAACUUCAAUAUAACCCCCCAACCAACAGUAAUCCAUUCUUCUCCAAUAUUUUACCAAAUCCAAUUGAAGAACCCUAAUUUCUUCUUCAUCUAAAAUCUGCCGAAAUUGCAUCAAAUUGCUCUUUGAAGUUUUGAUCUUUGAAAGCAAAGGUUAAUCUUUCUCCUUCAAACAUAAUAAUUUUUCACAGAUAAUUCAACUUCAAUGUUUAAGCUUGAUUCUUCAAAGAACUUCGGCUUCGAACAGGUCUUCCUCCAACUCGUCAGGAAUUCUAAAUAAUGAAAUCGAAGGAUUUUGCAACUGGUCACUUCAAUUUUGUUCGGGUAAGUCAAUUUUGGCGAGGCAAGAAGAAUUUUCAAUGGUUGGGCAUUAAGGUUCUUCAAUUUGGGAAUUUUUAACUGAUGGGUGAAUAAGGCUCGUUUAGAGACUUUUAUUUUUAUUUACUAGACAUUUUGAAUUGAGAAAAAAAUCAAAGUUUGACCAGAAUCAACAUAAAAAGAGCUGGGUUUUCAUGAAAUAUUUGUGAAGAGAAAAGUGACCAUAGAAAAAUUUUGAUUCUUUGGAAGAACAGAGGAGGUCUAAGUGAUCUGUAUAUUCCAUCACGCUCAUAACCAGAUUUUUCCAUUGAAUUGAACACUGUUUUUUUCUUGGUUUUUAUGUAAUUCUUUUUUCUGAAUUUUCAGUAGGGAAUGAAUUGGUAUUUGGAAUUCUUGAAUUGAGGAGAAAAGAUAGGAAGAUGACAAGGAAAUAUAUAAUGUGCUAUGAAAAUUAGAUAGAGGAAAGAUAGUUUGUUGAGUGCAGCCCAUGUUAAUUACGUGACUUACUAAUGAAGAGUGUGUUUCCCACUCAAAUUAAUAUAGCUGGGCCUUAGGAGGGA